UGAGCAAUCUGCCCUUCUCUUCGGAAUAAGCGUUGGAAACGACGUCUAAUGCCGAAUACGACCUCCUUUCGCAUGAUCGGAGGUGGAAAGCUCCGGCGGAGAAGGAUGAGCUCGCGGCCUAUCAGCUAGUUGGUGAGGUAAUGGCUCACCAAGGCGACGACGGGNGUCGUGU
This 172-nucleotide ribosomal RNA is filed under the name uncultured bacterium. Its description in RNAcentral is "partial 16S ribosomal RNA". It matches the Rfam family "Bacterial small subunit ribosomal RNA", at positions 118 to 291 of the family's 1533-position model. The record is from RNAcentral.